Molecule: non-coding RNA, 48 nt
Filed under: Trichobilharzia regenti
Lineage: Eukaryota; Metazoa; Platyhelminthes; Trematoda; Strigeidida; Schistosomatidae
Source: RNAcentral
AUCUAGAUGAUGAGUCCUAAACUGGACGAAAUCCGCGUUGUCCUGGAU